This is a long non-coding RNA of Nothoprocta perdicaria, 148 nucleotides long. RefSeq lists it as uncharacterized. NCBI's taxonomy places the organism in Eukaryota, Metazoa, Chordata, Aves, Tinamiformes, Tinamidae. The transcript has 2 exons. The record is from RefSeq and is a predicted model, not a curated record.
UUUUUUUUAAUUUCCGCUGGGGAAGGUGCCGAGUGGAGCUGCUGUCCGAGCUGGGCGCGAUGCUGAAGACGGAGCAGCCCUGGAUGUAACGCGCGGCGCCUCGGAGAGCCUUGCAGCAAUAGCCCGGAUCCCAGGCUGAACUUUGCUC